Molecule: ribosomal RNA, 498 nt
Filed under: uncultured bacterium
Lineage: Bacteria
Description: partial 16S ribosomal RNA
Rfam family: Bacterial small subunit ribosomal RNA
Source: RNAcentral
GACGAACGCUGGCGGCGUGCCUAAUACAUGCAAGUCGAACGAGAGCGCCCGGUGCUUGCCCUGGUCAAUCUAGUGGCGAACGGGUGAGUAACACGUGGGUAACCUGCCCAUCAGAGGGGGAUAACAUCCGGAAACGGAUGCUAAAACCGCAUAGGUCUUCGAACCGCAUGGUUUGAAGAGGAAAAGAGGCGCAAGCUUCUGCUGAUGGAUGGACCCGCGGUGCAUUAGCUAGUUGGUGAGGUAACGGCUCACCAAGGCCGUGAUGCAUAGCCGACCUGAGAGGGUGAUCGGCCACAUUGGGACUGAGACACGGCCCAAACUCCUACGGGAGGCAGCAGUAGGGAAUCUUCCGCAAUGGACGCAAGUCUGACGGAGCAACGCCGCGUGAGUGAAGAAGGUUUUCGGAUCGUAAAACUCUGUUGUUAGAGAAGAACAAGUGCUAGAGUAACUGUUAGCGCCUUGACGGUACCUAACCAGAAAGCCACGGCUAACUACGUG